UACGUAGGUGGCAAGCGUUGUCCGGAUUUACUGGGCGUAAAGAGCGCGCAGGCGGUCGUCCAAGUCGCGUGUGAAAGCCCCCGGCUCAACUGGGGAGGGUCACGCGAUGCUGGUCGACUCGAAGGCAGGAGAGGGUAGUGGAAUUCCCGGUGUAGUGGUGAAAUGCGUAGAUAUCGGGAGGAACACCAGUGGCGAAGGCGGUUGCCUGGGGCUUUGCUGACGCUGAUGCGCGAAAGCAUGGGGAGCGAACGGG
Molecule: ribosomal RNA, 253 nt
Filed under: uncultured bacterium
Lineage: Bacteria
Description: partial 16S ribosomal RNA
Rfam family: Bacterial small subunit ribosomal RNA
Source: RNAcentral